CUGGCUCAGGACGAACGCUGGCGGCGUGCCUAAUACAUGCAAGUCGAACGCUUCUUUUUCCACCGGAGCUUGCUCCACCGGAAAAAGAGGAGUGGCGAACGGGUGAGUAACACGUGGGUAACCUGCCCAUCAGAAGGGGAUAACACUUGGAAACAGGUGCUAAUACCGUAUAACAAUCGAAACCGCAUGGUUUUGAUUUGAAAGGCGCUUUCGGGUGUCGCUGAUGGAUGGACCCGCGGUGCAUUAGCUAGUUGGUGAGGUAACGGCUCACCAAGGCGACGAUGCAUAGCCGACCUGAGAGGGUGAUCGGCCACAUUGGGACUGAGACACGGCCCAAACUCCUACGGGAGGCAGCAGUAGGGAAUCUUCGGCAAUGGACGAAAGUCUGACCGAGCAACGCCGCGUGAGUGAAGAAGGUUUUCGGAUCGUAAAACUCUGUUGUUAGAGAAGAACAAGGAUGAGAGUAACUGUUCAUCCCUUGACGGUAUCUAACCAGAAAGCCACGGCUAACUACGUGCCAGCAGCCGCGGUAAUACGUAGGUGGCAAGCGUUGUCCGGAUUUAUUGGGCGUAAAGCGAGCGCAGGCGGUUUCUUAAGUCUGAUGUGAAAGCCCCCGGCUCAACCGGGGAGGGUCAUUGGAAACUGGGAGACUUGAGUGCAGAAGAGGAGAGUGGAAUUCCAUGUGUAGCGGUGAAAUGCGUAGAUAUAUGGAGGAACACCAGUGGCGAAGGCGGCUCUCUGGUCUGUAACUGACGCUGAGGCUCGAAAGCGUGGGGAGCAAACAGGAUUAGAUACCCUGGUAGUCCACGCCGUAAACGAUGAGUGCUAAGUGUUGGAGGGUUUCCGCCCUUCAGUGCUGCAGCUAACGCAUUAAGCACUCCGCCUGGGGAGUACGACCGCAAGGUUGAAACUCAAAGGAAUUGACGGGGGCCCGCACAAGCGGUGGAGCAUGUGGUUUAAUUCGAAGCAACGCGAAGAACCUUACCAGGUCUUGACAUCCUUUGACCACUCUAGAGAUAGAGCUUCCCCUUCGGGGGCAAAGUGACAGGUGGUGCAUGGUUGUCGUCAGCUCGUGUCGUGAGAUGUUGGGUUAAGUCCCGCAACGAGCGCAACCCUUAUUGUUAGUUGCCAUCAUUUAGUUGGGCACUCUAGCAAGACUGCCGGUGACAAACCGGAGGAAGGUGGGGAUGACGUCAAAUCAUCAUGCCCCUUAUGACCUGGGCUACACACGUGCUACAAUGGGAAGUACAACGAGUCGCAAAGUCGCGAGGCUAAGCUAAUCUCUUAAAGCUUCUCUCAGUUCGGAUUGUAGGCUGCAACUCGCCUACAUGAAGCCGGAAUCGCUAGUAAUCGCGGAUCAGCACGCCGCGGUGAAUACGUUCCCGGGCCUUGCACACACCGCCCGUCA
Molecule: ribosomal RNA, 1408 nt
Filed under: uncultured bacterium
Lineage: Bacteria
Description: 16S ribosomal RNA
Rfam family: Bacterial small subunit ribosomal RNA
Source: RNAcentral